Molecule: ribosomal RNA, 459 nt
Filed under: uncultured bacterium
Lineage: Bacteria
Description: bacterial SSU rRNA
Rfam family: Bacterial small subunit ribosomal RNA
Source: RNAcentral
AUGAACGCUGGCGACGUGGAUAUGUCAUGCAAGUUGAGCGCCCCGCAAGGGGAGCAGCAGACGAGGUAGUAACACGUGAGUACGCACCCCAAAGUCAGGAAUAGCUUAUCGAAAGAUAGGGUAAUACUUGAUGGCCUCCGACACCGUAAGGUCGUCGGAGUAAAGAUUUAUCGCUUUGGGAGCGGCUCGCGGGAUAUCAGCUAGUUGGUACGGUAACGGCGUACCAAGGCUAUGACGUCUAGGGGAGGUGAGAGCCUGACCCCCACCGAUAGCACUGAGACACGGGCUAUACACCUACGGGUGGCUGCAGACGAGAAUAUUCGACAAUGGGCGCAAGCCUGAUCGAGCGACGUCGCGUGAUGGAUGAAGUCCUUCGGGACGUAAACAUCUUUUGUCAGGGAGAACGUGGCAUUCAUGCCACACGAUAGUACCUGAAGAAUAAGGGGUUGCUAACUCUGU